GACGAACGCUGGCGGCGUGCUUAACACAUGCAAGUCGAACGGAAAGGCCCCCUUGUGGGGUACUCGAGUGGCGAACGGGUGAGUAACACGUGAGUAACCUACCCUUGACUUUGGGAUAACUUCAGGAAACUGGGGCUAAUACCGGAUAGGAGCUCCUGCUGCAUGGUGGGGGUUGGAAAGUUUCGGCGGUUGGGGAUGGACUCGCGGCUUAUCAGCUUGUUGGUGGGGUAGUGGCUCACCAAGGCUUUGACGGGUAGCCGGCCUGAGAGGGUGACCGGCCACAUUGGGACUGAGAUACGGCCCAGACUCCUACGGGAGGCAGCAGUGGAGAAUAUUGCACAAUGGGCGGAAGCCUGAUGCAGCAACGCCGCGUGCGGGAUGACGGCCUUCGGGUUGUAAACCGCUUUCGCCUGUGACGAAGCGUGAGUGACGGUAAUGGGUAAAGAAGCACCGGCUAACUACGUG
Molecule: ribosomal RNA, 465 nt
Filed under: uncultured bacterium
Lineage: Bacteria
Description: partial 16S ribosomal RNA
Rfam family: Bacterial small subunit ribosomal RNA
Source: RNAcentral